RNAcentral lists this ribosomal RNA (943 nucleotides) under uncultured crenarchaeote. Its description in RNAcentral is "bacterial SSU rRNA". It matches the Rfam family "Archaeal small subunit ribosomal RNA", at positions 1 to 922 of the family's 1478-position model. The record is from RNAcentral. Lineage: Archaea; Thermoproteati; Thermoproteota.
UUCCGGUUGAUCCCGCCGGACCCGACUGCUAUUUGGGUAAGACUAAGCCAUGCAAGUCUAAUGGUAUCACUUGGUACCAUGGCGAACUGCUCAGUAACAUGUGAUUAACUUACCCUUCGGUGGAGAAUAAUCUCGGGAAACUGAGGCUAAUACUCCAUAUUUGGAAUGGGCUGGAAUGCUGUUCCAUUGAAAGAUAUUCUGAAUUGGAAGAUGUUUGCCGAAGGAUAGGAUCGCACUUGAUUAUGGUCGUUGGUGAGGUAAUGGCUCACCAAGCCUAUGAUCGAUAAGGGACGUGAGAGCGUGAGCCCUGAGAUGGGGACUGAGACACUGCCCCAGGCCUUACGAGGUGCAGCAGGCGCGAAACCUUUACAAUGCACGCAAGUGUGAUAAGGUUACCCAAAGUGACAUUGAUGCAAAAGCGAUUUGUCUGUUGGAUGUGUUUAAUGGGCCAUCCGAGGAAGGAGAGGGCAAGGCUGGUGCCAGCCGCCGCGGUAACACCAGCUCUUCAAGUGGUUGGGAGUUUUAUUGGGCUUAAAGCGUCCGUAGCCUGUUUGAUAAGUUCCUGGUUAAAUCCGGCAGCUUAACUGUUGGUCUGCUAGGAAUACUGUCUUACUAGAGGGCGGAAAAGGUCAGGGGUACUCCGGGGGGAGCGGUGAAAUGUGAUAAUCCUCGGGGGACCACCAGUGGCGAAGGCGCCUGACUGGAACGCGCCUGACGGUGAGGGACGAAAGGUAGGGGAACGAACGGGAUUAGGUACCCCGGUAGUCCUACCCGUAAACGAUGCGCUCUAGAUGUCGGCUCUGCUCCGAGCAGUGCCGGUGCCACAGGGAAACCGUUAAGAGCGCCGCCUGGGAAGUACGAUCGCAAGAUUGAAACUUAAAGGAAUUGACGGGGGAGCACCACAAGGGGUGAAGCCUGCGGUUUAAUUGGAUUCAACGCCGGA